This 360-nucleotide ribosomal RNA is filed under the name uncultured Thermosynechococcaceae cyanobacterium. Its description in RNAcentral is "bacterial SSU rRNA". It matches the Rfam family "Bacterial small subunit ribosomal RNA", at positions 524 to 881 of the family's 1533-position model. Lineage: Bacteria; Bacillati; Cyanobacteriota; Cyanophyceae; Acaryochloridales; Thermosynechococcaceae. The record is from RNAcentral.
GACGGAGGAGGCAAGCGUUAUCCGGAAUCAUUGGGCGUAAAGCGUCCGCAGGUGGCUUAUCAAGUCUGCUGUUAAAGCUCAGGGCUCAACCCUGAACCAGCCGUGGAAACUGGUAAGCUUAGAGUGCGGUAGGGGUAGAGGGAAUUCCCGGUGUAGCGGUGAAAUGCGUAGAGAUCGGGAAGAACACCAGUGGCGAAGGCGCUCUACUGGACCGCAACUGACACUGAGGGACGAAAGCUAGGGGAGCGAAUGGGAUUAGAUACCCCAGUAGUCCUAGCCGUAAACGAUGGACACUAGGUGUUGCGCGUAUCGACCCGUGCAGUGCCGGAGCCAACGCGUUAAGUGUCCCGCCUGGGGAGU